UGAAGUGUGGACGCCAGUCUGCAUGGAGCCGACCUUGAAAUACCACCCUUUAAUGUUUGAUGUUCUAACGUGGACCCGUUACCCGGGUUGCGGACAGUGUCUGGUGGGUAGUUUGACUGGGGCGGUCUCCUCCUAAAGAGUAACGGAGGAGCACGAAGGUUGGCUAAUCCUGGUCGGACAUCAGGAGGUUAGUGCAAUGGCAUAAGCCAGCUUGACUGCGAGCGUGACGGCGCGAGCAGGUGCGAAAGCAGGUCAUAGUGAUCCGGUGGUUCUGAAUGGAAGGGCCAUCGCUCAACGGAUAAAAGGUACUCCGGGGAUAACAGGCUGAUACCGCCCAAGAGUUCAUAUCGACGGCGGUGUUUGGCACCUCGAUGUCGGCUCAUCACAUCCUGGGGCUGAAGUAGGUCCCAAGGGUAUGGCUGUUCGCCAUUUAAAGUGGUACGCGAGCUGGGUUUAGAACGUCGUGAGACAGUUCGGUCCCUAUCUGCCGUGGGCGCUGGAGAACUGAGGGGGGCUGCUCCUAGUACGAGAGGACCGGAGUGGACGCAUCACUGGUGUUCGGGUUGUCAUGCCAAUGGCACUGCCCGGUAGCUAAAUGCGGAAGAGA
RNAcentral lists this ribosomal RNA (607 nucleotides) under Salmonella enterica. RNAcentral describes it as "partial 23S ribosomal RNA". It matches the Rfam family "Bacterial large subunit ribosomal RNA", at positions 2158 to 2764 of the family's 2925-position model. Lineage: Bacteria; Pseudomonadati; Pseudomonadota; Gammaproteobacteria; Enterobacterales; Enterobacteriaceae. The record is from RNAcentral.